Molecule: ribosomal RNA, 699 nt
Filed under: uncultured bacterium
Lineage: Bacteria
Description: bacterial SSU rRNA
Rfam family: Bacterial small subunit ribosomal RNA
Source: RNAcentral
AGAGUUUGAUCCUGGCUCAGGACGAACGUUGGCGGUGCGCUUAAUGCAUGCAAGUCGAGGGAGAACCAUUCGAUCCGUAAGGACUGGAUGGGGAAACCGGCGAACGGGUGCGUAACACGUGAGGAACCUGCCCCGAAGACCGGGAUAGCCCGAGGAAACUCGGAUUAAUACCGGAUACCCUCUUUGGACCACAUGGUCCGCUGAGGAAAUGGUCCGCCGCUUCGGGAUGGCCUCGCGGCCUAUCAGCUUGUUGGUGAGGUAACGGCUCACCAAGGCAAAGACGGGUAGCUGGUCUGAGAGGACGAUCAGCCACACUGGGACUGAGACACGGCCCAGACUCCUACGGGAGGCAGCAGCAGGGAAUAUUGCACAAUGGGCGAAAGCCUGAUGCAGCGACACCGCGUGCGGGAUGAAGGCCCUCGGGUUGUAAACCGCUUUCAGGAGGGACGAAAAUGACGGUACCUCCAGAAGAAGGCCCGGCCAACUACGUGCCAGCAGCCGCGGUAAUACGUAGGGGCCAAACGUUGUCCGGAUUUAUUGGGCGUAAAGGGCUCGUAGGCGGUUCAACAAGUCGAUCGUGAAAGCCCGGGGCUCAACCCCGGGACGCCGGUCGAAACUGUUGUGACUAGGGUCCGGUAGAGGUGAGUGGAAUUCUCGGUGUAGCGGUGGAAUGCGCAAAUAUCGAGAGGAACACCAGUU